Long non-coding RNA from Felis catus (domestic cat), 1357 nucleotides. RefSeq lists it as uncharacterized. Lineage: Eukaryota; Metazoa; Chordata; Mammalia; Carnivora; Felidae. The transcript is spliced from 2 exons. The record is from RefSeq and is a predicted model, not a curated record.
CAUCUCUGAGCCCCGCAUUCUAGGGGCGAGUGCCUUGCUCAGACCCAGGGCACCCACAAAACGGGGCCUGAAGGAUUUGCAGCAAUUUUUACACAACUGUUCGAAGCUAUUAAUGGGACAGCAACCAAGUCAGCAUCUUUCUCCCAAGAACUUCCGAGCACAAACAGAGAUGAAGGGAGUCACUGUCAGAUACUGGAGGUAAGUCCAGGCCUAAUUCUAGUGCUUUAUCCUUAAACUACUCGCUACCAAUGAACACACUGGGAAUGUGACUUUUAAAUGAGCCAAGACUCAAAAAGCAGUUCCAAAGCAGUUUUCUAAAACCCCAUGAAGGGGGCAAGGAGCAGUUGUCAAUAUUUCAUAAAUCUAAAGGAAUCCUAUUAGAAACACACCUAUGAUAAGGUUGCCCACCCUUGCUCCACGGUUUUUUUUUUUUCUUUUUUUUUUGGUCUCAAAUAAACUCCGUACAGACAGUUUAGGUAUGCUGAUCAAAAGCUCUGAUGAUAUAACCUGUGAUAAAAAGAAGGAAAAUAUGGUUGCCACCUAAAAUCAUUUAAUACAGGGGCGCCUGGGUGGCUCAGUCGGUUAGGAGUCCGACUUUGGCUCAGGUCUUGAUCUGCUGGUUUGUGAGUUCGAGCCCUGUGUUGGGCUCUGUGCCGACAGCUUGGAGCCUGGAGCCUGCUUUGGAUUCUGUGCCUCCUCCUCUCUCUUCCCCGACUUGUGCUCUGUCUCUAUCAAAAGUAAAUAAAUGUCAAAAAAAAUUAAAAAAUAAAAUCUUUUAAUACAAAAGACGGAAAGGAGGUAGAUGCAGAAGGGGCUGAUGUUGAAAAACGUGAAAACCAUUCAUUUGAAAAAUUGGAAUGUUUCAGCAGUCUUUACAGAGCACAUAUUUGGACUUUUAAAAAACUGCUCUCAAUCUAUUUGCAGGUCUUUACUUUUCUAAUUUCUUGAUAUUAUUUAGACUAACCAACUGAAAAACUGGCAUUACUGGAGCCAUUUUAAAAUCGAGUCUGAGUGGCCAGUGGAGAGAAACUGCCAUACUCACCUUUGAACUGGGUCAAAACCUUUGCACUGGGUAAAACGGCAGUUGUUUUAAGCAACUGUUUGAAAAGUCAGCAGACAGACAUCCGGAUCACAAGUCUGGUGGUUGUGGACUUUCUGAAGACAGAAUCAGCACUCAGUCAGUAUAUAACCCAGAGUAGCCUAGCCUGUUAAAACACCCAUAGAAAAAAAAUUUCUUCCUUAAAUCAUGUCAUUGCACCUCCCUUUGUUUUCCUCAUGAAAACCACCUUGCUUUCCUGAAUCUGUGCUCCCGAAACUGCAACUCUUUGGUCCCAAAUAAAUACUCAUUUGCCUCUCA